RNAcentral lists this long non-coding RNA (274 nucleotides) under Setaria viridis. Its description in RNAcentral is "long non-coding RNA (SVIR_LNC008021)". The record is from RNAcentral. Lineage: Eukaryota; Viridiplantae; Streptophyta; Magnoliopsida; Poales; Poaceae.
UCAACAGUCUAUUCAUCACGCCUUCAUUGAUCAGUCCCCGGUACUUUCCAACAUGGUGCACAACGCUGUUGUCAACUCCUUCGCUGGCGGGAUACCUCAAGGAUACAGGGGACCGACAUAUUUUCAGCCGAUUCCACCCAAUCAGACUUAUUCAAAUUCGGCUUCGCAGCCGAUCCAAUUUUCUGUUAGGGGAUCAGGUGCUUCCUCAUCAUCAGCUCCUAUGGGAUAUGGCUCCAUCCAAUUGUCCUCUGCGCCAUUCCCUCCAGUCAGCCCA